GGGCCAUUAGCUCAGCUGGUAGAGCAACAGACUCUUAAUCUGUGGGUCAAAGGUUCGAUCCCUUUAUGGCUCA
Molecule: transfer RNA, 73 nt
Filed under: Treponema sp.
Lineage: Bacteria; Pseudomonadati; Spirochaetota; Spirochaetia; Treponematales; Treponemataceae
Also listed under: 2 other names
Description: tRNA-Lys
Rfam family: tRNA
About the family: Transfer RNA (tRNA) molecules are approximately 80 nucleotides in length.
Source: RNAcentral